Long non-coding RNA from Betta splendens (Siamese fighting fish), 2584 nucleotides. RefSeq lists it as uncharacterized. NCBI's taxonomy places the organism in Eukaryota, Metazoa, Chordata, Actinopteri, Anabantiformes, Osphronemidae. The transcript has 3 exons. The record is from RefSeq and is a predicted model, not a curated record.
CCAGGAUACGGCGGGGAGGAGCUCAACCUUUGUGAUGCUGCUGCUGCCUGAGCCUACACCCACUCCAGAUGAAUUAUGGGAAAGCUGGGAGCCGAGAGGGGGAAGCAGCGGUGGCACAUGUUGCAGAGAGAAGGGUGGAAGCUUUUCAUGCAGCGGUGUCGGUCAUGUCCCAGGGGAGGCUUCCGCUGGCCGUGAGACAAAUCCACGACGUCACGUGUCAUUCCCACAUGAGCUCGUGUUGAAUGUCAGCAGGUAAUAACAGCACAUUCUUACACGCGCAGUUUAAAAAUAGGCGAACCCCAGCGACAGUUACCAGGGCACAGAAAAUGCUCCAAUAAAGCAAAAGUGAAGGUUUAAAUUUGAAGUGUGAGUGAGUGGUAGCAGCUCUUCAUUGCUCCUCUUCUUCUAUUUUCACACUUUCCUAUCUUGCCUUUCUUGAUUCAGUCGUCUCCGUUUGUUCAUUGUAAGUAAAUGCAACAUGGGGCUUAAAACAUGUACAUGUGCUUUUCUUAAUGGAAAAUAAUAAUAUCAUGCUUCGAUAUAGAUGCCUGGGAGCUCACACCUCCUACACUCCUCUGUUUUUCACAUUUCUCCCUUUCAUGUUCCUCUGACAACCCCACUCUCCACACAAUAAUGUUGGUGAUGCAUAUUGGAUUUAUUUUGCGUCUCUGCUGCUCUUUUCCUUUCCCAUAUUUCUAUUCUCAGUCUUUCCCCUUUGUGUGUGUGCUUCACGCUGGUGCUUUUCAUUCCACCUCCUCCUGAACCUCUCCAUCACUGCAUGGUUCAUGAAGGGCUUUAUUUUGUCUAGCCACACGCCGGGCGAGUUUGUUAUAUAAUCACCCAACUUUGAUCAAUUCUCCUUUUUGGUUAAUGAACACAUACUAAAAGAUUCUUUUUCAGCCAAAAAGCUUGUCACUGUAAGUGACUCACCUUUAGUGUUUAUUUUCGCAUCACUAUGGAAACCGGGCCUUGUAUUGACCUGAGGAUGGAACCCAUAACAUAACUGCCGCUGUUUCUCUUCCAUUAUUCAGUGCUGCACUGAUGUAUUUUUAAAGACAGUGUUCUUAUCUGCACUGAAACCACAGCUCUCUCGCUGUUUAUUAGCAGAAAUACAAGCUCUCAGACGUAACCCUGAAGAACAGCAUGGCCCUGGUUUGGCGAGCGCCACAACUGGCCUGCAUGUUUGCAUGUUUGCAUGUUUGCAUGGGCAUGUGCUCCUCCGUCUGGUGUCACCCGGCAGCCGGUCCAGCGCAUGGCCAGCGAAGGCAGGCAGCUGAGCCCAUCUGAUAAGACACAUCAGGCAGCCUCUAAUUCCAGAAAUAUCAUUUGUGCCUUGAGCUGUCACUAAUCCGAGGAUGGCCUGGAAAACGGUAGUAGAUAUGAGCUGCGUUCUCUGAGUCCGCUACUCCAAACUCCCACGUCUUCCUCCUCCUUCUCCCCUCUUGCCUUCUCCAGCUUCUGCUUGUCAUUGUCCUCGGCUUUGCUUUGCCUCUCUCAGCUCUUCACCUGUGCAUAAGGUUCUGGUUGAGCGGUUGCCCUGGAGUGACACUCAGGUGCAUUAAUCCCACGUACGGACAAGCACUCAGCCGAAUGUUGCAAAUGGAAUAAAUUGAAAGGCAAUUAGUCCACAUUAAAUGGUCUGAGUCCCCUGCAUUUACCUUCAUUAUUAAAGUCUACAUAAUGUGCAAGAAAAGGUUAAACGUGAACAUGACAUGUGUUUCAUUAACAGUGUUAUUUAAAUGAUGUUAAAUUGAAAAAAUGAAAAAUAACUUUAUUCUGUUUAAAUUUGGUAAAUAUUACACCCUGAGAUAAAGAUGCUGCAACACUUUAUGAAAUUUUAUUUCAUAUUUUUUUUUUUUUUAUGUAAAAUAUGAGCUGCCUCUGCUGCAGACCGUCUGCCAGUAAGGUUUUAGGCUACAGUUGUUUCAUGUUGACCAUCGGCGACAAGGAAAAAGAGCCGAGUGCCUUUGAAGAGUGAAAAAAGCCAAUUUCCCAGGGUUCAACACAAGCGGCUUUUUUUAGGUUGAAACUUCACAAAGUUUCACACUGAAGACCCCAUAAGUUUCACACACAAAUAAGUUGAAUGAAUAAUAAUCCACUGUGCACUCAUCCGACCCAAAGAGACGACUGAAGCAUUUUUACAUGUCAUCAUCAUCAGCAAGAACUUUAUUUCAUGCCAGAAAACAUCCACAUAACAUUUUAUACUCUUCAUAAAAGAAAUGAUAAACACUUGAAUAAGUGAACACAUUCAUCUCUCACAUUGUCACAUUGCCAGAUAUACGACAGUUACUUCUGUUUUCAUUAAUGUACAUGAUCCUAGUGAAUCUCAUUUAAAUGUUCUAAUGCUCAAAAUAUAAUCUUGUAUUUAUGUGUAUUGUUUAUGCACUGAAAAUGCUAAAUAAUGGCUUUUAGGUUUUAAUACUAGAUUAACACUUCAGGCAAACUAAGUAAUUAUUUGGUACAUUGUAGUCCUGUUAAUGUCUCACUACACUUGAGGGCAACUCUUGGCUCAUUGCACAGUAACAGCAGUUGAUUCUACGUUUUCCAUCGACUACCUAAAAUAAAUAUCUGCUCUUCACAAUAA